This 497-nucleotide ribosomal RNA is filed under the name uncultured bacterium. RNAcentral describes it as "partial 16S ribosomal RNA". It matches the Rfam family "Bacterial small subunit ribosomal RNA", at positions 28 to 507 of the family's 1533-position model. The record is from RNAcentral.
GACGAACGCUGGCGGCGUGCCUAAUACAUGCGAGUUGAGCGAUGAAGAUUGGUGCUUGCACCAAUUUGAAGAGCAGCGAACGGGUGAGUAACGCGUGGGGAAUCUGCCUUUGAGCGGGGGACAACAUUUGGAAACGAAUGCUAAUACCGCAUAACAACUUUAAACAUAAGUUUUAAGUUUGAAAGAUGCAAUUGCAUCACUCAAAGAUGAUCCCGCGUUGUAUUAGCUAGUUGGUGAGGUAAAGGCUCACCAAGGCGAUGAUACAUAGCCGACCUGAGAGGGUGAUCGGCCACAUUGGGACUGAGACACGGCCCAAACGCCUACGGGAGGCAGCAGUAGGGAAUCUUCGGCAAUGGACGAAAGUCUGACCGAGCAACGCCGCGUGAGUGAAGAAGGGUUUCGGAUCGUAAAACUCUGUUGGUAGAGAAGAACGUUGGUGAGAGUGGAAAGCUCAUCAAGUGACGGUAACUACCCAGAAAGGGACGGCUAACUACGUG